UACGGAGGGUGCAAGCGUUGCUCGGAAUUAUUGGGCGUAAAGGGUAUGUAGGUGGUCUCAUUUGUCUGGGGUGAAAGCCUUGAGCUUAACUCAAGAAGUGCCCCAGAAACGGUGAGACUGGAGUCCUGGAGAGGGUCGUGGAAUUCCCGGUGUAGCGGUGAAAUGCGUAGAGAUCGGGAGGAACACCAGAGGCGAAAGCGGCGACCUGGACAGGAACUGACACUCAACUACGAAAGCGUGGGGAGCAAACAGG
This 253-nucleotide ribosomal RNA is filed under the name uncultured bacterium. Its description in RNAcentral is "partial 16S ribosomal RNA". It matches the Rfam family "Bacterial small subunit ribosomal RNA", at positions 524 to 776 of the family's 1533-position model. The record is from RNAcentral.